CGAAUCAAUUAGGCGCCUCAAUUCUAUUCGUUUCCGGAAGUGGAGGCGGGACUUCAGUGCAAGGUCUCUUCCUGUUACCGGUAGCUCUUCUUUCCUUUGAAUGGAGCGCCGCGAGGAGUCCUCCUUCCAAUCGCUGCCCUCCGCAGAGCGACCAAUCGGCGUCCUGCUUCCUUCCGGCCAUGAGCCAUACAGCGCCUGCGCAGUAGCGAAGCUUCUUUUUGUGCUAGACAGCAUCUCUUGCCUCUCAGCUGCCCCUUUCCUGGGCAAUCCUGGCUGCAGCUGAAACCCUUCCUUAAGGAGAAGGAGGAGCCAAAACCUGUCCUCUCCUAAGAAUGCAGAUCAGGCCCAUGAAACAGAGAAUGAGAAUUCUUCCAGCUGGUUCUGCUUUGCUCAACCUGCAUCCUAAAUACUGUGCCCGGUUUGGGCCCCUCAAAUUCCGUGCAGCAGAGGCAGAGAAGGACAAGGUGAAUGAUCGAAUCCUCCCCUUGCAGCAAAAAGUAUUUACCUUUUUAUCAAAUAAUUUCAAUUUACUGUGAAAUCUGUUGAAACUGAUGCAAUUAAACGGCAUGGACAGUUUACGGUUGCAUAAUGUAUUGGGUGUAAAUUUUGAUUUAGGACUAACUUUCUUCUGAAUAAAACAAAACGGUAUAGACAACAUCACUGCUUGUAGCCUUUGUAGAUUUUAAGCCUACAUUUGAUUCCAUUUGAGAGAAAUCUUGUUGAACGUGGAGAAUACAGUACAAAUGAGUCAAAUGAGGCUGUUACAAAAAAAUACAAUUUAAACCACACAUUUUCAGUUAAGCAGGUAACACAAUCAUUCCCCAGCAUCUAGUAGACAAACUGGGCCUUUUAGGAGAAUACAAUAGAAAGGGAGGUCACUUUUUCUCAUUCAGCAUUUGUAUGAAAUGUGCUAACCAACCUGGUACCGCUUCAGAAAAGUCUCCCAGCGCUUUAUUUAGACUUUCACCCUCUAAGUUGUAUCUUCACUCCUUGACAGCUCAUUUGAUUGUCUCCUGCCUGAAUCAGUGGACCCAGAUUUACUGCUCCUCCAGGAUAUAGUGUCAACACUGCAAAUAUUGCAUAUUCUUGCUUUUGACAAUAUGCAGAAUUGUCUGGUAAUUAUGGGGUUUAUACAGAGCAGAAUGGGGAUGGGAGUAAAGCGCGGGAAAGAAAGAGUAACAAAACAUUUGACCUUCACACUAAUUGGAUAAUGUGCACACUAAUUGGAUAAUGUGAGAUAUCACGGCUAAUUUAGGGAGGGAACAUACUGAUAAUUUAACUGCUCAGAGGAAGAGAACUUAGAUCCCUCUGUUAUGCCUGUGCAGAGGUUUUGUAACAAUAAAAGACUUUUAGGAAAACAAAUGCCUGGAAGUUCUUUGAAGUGUUUCAUUAGCUGGAACCGUAACAGAUAGUAUCUCACAAAGUUUUGCUGGCCUUAGAAAGCCUCUUGUGUCUGCUAAAAAGCCUUGAAGACAAGUAGACCAUUGAGAGCAUCCAAGACUUUCAUACAUCUGGGGAUGGCCUUAACGUGGUGCUGACAUUUGAGAAACCUAUAUAGAUUAUAUCAAAAAUGAGAUGGAGCUCUUUCAUAGCGACAAAAAAGAGGCUAAAUUAGCCCUAGAUUCAGCCAUGUCUCACUUACUUCAACUAGGCACCAAGUGGGAUGACAAUUUAAAGGCAAUUUAUUAGUCUAUUAUACCAAAGAGAUUUCCCUCAAUGAAAAGGGGAAAUCCAGGACACAGAAUCGGGUUUCAUUUUAUAAGCCAUAUAAUAGAAAAAGUACAAAACAAGACAAGAAAUCAUCCUACUCAGUUAUGCCAGAGACAUGAACAGUAAGAUCCCAUAAUAUUAAACAUAACCAUUGAAACGUGCAUUGCAUUAAAAGGAGAACGUGAUAUGGGAAAGUGUCAUGAAUCAAAUGAGGCUGUUGGAAAAAGGGACAAUUUCAGCCACAGAAUUUCAGUCUGGCAUUUAACACAAUCAUUCCCCAGCAUCUAGUAGACAAACUGGGCCUUUUAAGCUUAAACGCUCUUUGUUUAACUGGAUUGUUGAUUUUCUUACCAACAGCCUCCAAUAUGUGCAAGUUGGAACAAAUACCCCUAAUACCAUUUUCUUGAGCAGUUUCUCCGCAGGGCUGCGUCCCAUGUCUGCUGCUGUUCACCCUGUUCACCCAUGACUGUUGUGCUAGGUUUUCCAUAUUGUGAAGUUCACAGUAGCGGGCCUUAUUCAUGAUGACAAUGAGGGAGCUUACCGCAAGGAGGUUGUGGGGUUGAUGAACUGGUGUAAGGAAAACAGCCUAGUUUUACAUGCCAGAAAAACCAUAAAAAUCCUUGUCAAUUUAAGAACAGGCAGGCACAGACACAUUUCUCUGUGCAUUAAUGAUUCACCUGUGGAGAUGGUUACCAGCAUCAAAUUCCUGGGUGUGCAGCUAAUGAGUAACAUUACAUAGCCCUUGAAAAAGUGUGUAAAAUUAUUCAGAUUCCACUAUUUGGCAUCAGAGAAUAGCACAAUCAUUAAACUGAGUAUAGCAAUAAAGGGAAUAAUAAAAUGGUGCUGUCCGUAAGUUUAAUUACUCCUGACAUUUAGGGCGGAGAAUACAAUAUAUACUCAUGUUGACACACAAAGGUUGAGAUAGCAAUGAAGGAUAAGGGUUCACACCUGUCUUACUGAACUAUACUUACGUCUGUACUUAGGUCUGUGAUACACAUUCAAGUAGCUUCUUAGUGCAGUAUUGCAGGCAGACUGUCCACACCCUGGAGUCUGAUUCUGAUAGCGCUCAAACCUUCACUGUCAUCCAUCCUUCUGAGGAUGGUAAAAGGCGGGCCCAGAUUGUUGACGGCAAUAUGCAAAUAAUGUUUACCUUAUAAAUCUCCCAGAGUGCCCUGUAAAGCAUAUGGGGCGGCAUAUAUGCCUAAAUGCUAUUGUUAUUUCAGUGGCACCGUUGUGACUGAAGGCAUAUUUAGCAUUUUUUUCCUCCAUAUGAAUUCUUUGAUGUCGAUAGAGGUGUCCACAAACAACAAAGCUCUUUCCACACUCAAGGUAUUUGUAUUGUUUUUCUCCCGAGUGCAUUGAUGCUUCCCACAGAAACCCUUUCCACGCUCCAGGCAUUUAUAUGGUUUCUCUACUGAAUGGAGUCUUUGAUGUCUGUAAAGGUUUCCCCUCUGACUAAAGUCUUCCACACUCUAGACAUUUAUUUGCUUUUUCUCCUCUGUGAAUGCUUUGAUGUUUAUGCAGGCCUUGAGUUUCAUUAAAGCUCUUUCCACACUGGAGGCACUUACAGGUAAUCCCCCAGGUGCGAGAGUUCAUUUAGCCACUUUUCACAAAAACGAAUUAAUUAAAUUAAUUCAGGAAGGGUACUUACAUUACAAAUUCAGAAUUGCGACCAAAAAGGUUUGUCUAGCCAUUUGACUUGGUUUCAGUCUCUACUGCCGUGGCGGCCAUUUUUAUCUCUCCGACUUUCCUUGGCUGUUCGGGGCUACGAGAAGCUGGCAGGGUUUAGGUUGGUUUUUUUUUUGGUUGUUUUUUUUUUUUUUUUGUCCCUGGCCACAUGGCCAAACAAGUGCCAAGCCAGCUCCGUUUUUUGCUUUUGCUAGCUGAAGAUGCUUGAGCUGGCUAGCAGCCGUUAUUUUUUU
Molecule: long non-coding RNA, 3632 nt
Organism: Crotalus tigris (Tiger rattlesnake)
Lineage: Eukaryota; Metazoa; Chordata; Lepidosauria; Squamata; Viperidae
Exons: 2
Source: RefSeq, a predicted model, not a curated record